GCUGGCGGCGUGCCUAACACAUGCAAGUCGAACGAGAAAGCCCGGCUUCGGCUGGGCAAGUAAAGUGGCGUACGGGUGAGUAACGCGUAGGUAACCUGCCCCUGUGUUCGGGAUAACAGUGCGAAAGCGCUGCUAAUACCGGAUGUGGCCAUUUGACGGUGGUCAGAUGGUCAAAGUCGGCCUCUCGAUGAAGCCGGCGCGCGGGGAUGGGCCUGCGUCCUAUCAGCUUGUUGGCAGGGUAACGGCCUACCAAGGCUUCGACGGGUAGCUGGUCUGAGAGGAUGAUCAGCCACACUGGCACUGAAACACGGGCCAGACUCCUACGGGAGGCAGCAGUGAGGAAUUUUGCGCAAUGGCCGCAAGGCUGACGCAGCAACGCCGCGUGGGUGAAGAAGGCCUUCGGGUCGUAAAGCCCUGUCAGGUGGGAAGAAUGACCAAAGGAUGAAUGAUCUUUUGGUGUGACGGUACCACCAGAGGAAGCACCGGCUAACUCCGUGCCAGCAGCCGCGGUAA
This 513-nucleotide ribosomal RNA is filed under the name uncultured delta proteobacterium. RNAcentral describes it as "bacterial SSU rRNA". It matches the Rfam family "Bacterial small subunit ribosomal RNA", at positions 35 to 523 of the family's 1533-position model. Lineage: Bacteria; Deltaproteobacteria. The record is from RNAcentral.